AUACGUAGGGGACGAGCGUUGUCCGGAAUUACUGGGCGUAAAGGGCGCGCAGGCGGAUAUUUAAGUCAGCUGUAAAAGGCAUGAGCUCAACUCAUGUAUGCGGUUGAAACUGGGUAUCUAGAGUGCUGGAGAGGUAGGCGGGAUUCCCGGUGUAGCGGUGAAAUGCGUAGAUAUCGGGAAGAACACCAGUGGCGAAGGCGGCUUACUGGCCAGCAACUGACGCUGAGGCGCGAAAGCCAGGGGAGCGAACGGGAUUAGAUACCCCGGUAGUCCUGGCCGUAAACGAUGAAUGCUAGGUGUGGGUGUCGAGAGGCAUCCGUGCCGGAGUUAACGCGAUAAGCAUUCCGCCUGGGGAGUACGAUCGCAAGAUUGAAACUCAAAGGAAUUGACGGGG
This 394-nucleotide ribosomal RNA is filed under the name uncultured bacterium. Its description in RNAcentral is "partial 16S ribosomal RNA". It matches the Rfam family "Bacterial small subunit ribosomal RNA", at positions 523 to 918 of the family's 1533-position model. The record is from RNAcentral.